This 387-nucleotide ribosomal RNA is filed under the name fungal sp. Its description in RNAcentral is "partial small subunit ribosomal RNA". It matches the Rfam family "Eukaryotic small subunit ribosomal RNA", at positions 582 to 975 of the family's 1831-position model. Lineage: Eukaryota; Fungi. The record is from RNAcentral.
AUUCCAGCUCCAAUAGCGUAUAUUAAAGUUGUUGCAGUUAAAAAGCUCGUAGUUGAAUAUCGGGGAAGCGUAUCCGGUCUAGCUUCGUGCUUGCACUGGAUGGCGCGACCCUCUUUUCUGGGGAAGCAAGGUGUCCUUCACUGGGCGCCUUGGGGAACCAGGACGAUUACCUUGAGAAAAAUAGAGUGUUCAAAGCAGGCAAUUGCUUGAAUACGUUAGCAUGGAAUAAUAAAAUAGGACUUUGGUUCUAUUUUGUUGGUUUUAAGGACCAAUGUCAUGAUGAAUAGGGACAGUUGGGGGCAUUCGUAUUCCGAAGCUAGAGGUGAAAUUCUUGGAUUUUCGGAAGACGAACCACUGCGAAAGCAUUUGCCAAAGAUGUUUUCAUCG